This 476-nucleotide unclassified non-coding RNA is filed under the name Hevea brasiliensis (rubber tree). Lineage: Eukaryota; Viridiplantae; Streptophyta; Magnoliopsida; Malpighiales; Euphorbiaceae. The record is from RNAcentral.
AAAGAAAAUGAAAUUGAUAUUGUACUUCACCUAUUACAGGUUGCUAAUUGUCAUGAAAACUUACUUUCUCUGCUCUCUAGCUUGAGCAAAUUCAUCCUCGUCUCGCCAAAUUACAGGUAGACCUGAUAGGUCGCAGGCCAAAGGGCUUGUGUAAAAGAACUGCAUCAAAAAACAUAAAAAUGUGUUCAGCCUGUGUAUUCAGAAAAAAGAAUUCUGAAGCACCAUGAGAUGAGUCUUCCGCUCAUUUACUUCAUUCUGGAGAGCUGAAGAUGCAGAGCCACGGUAUGCAGGAUCUAGAGCAAGAAGAGUGCUCAAUAGACCCAAAGACGAUUCAGGAAACUCCCCGAAAGCUUCGAAAAGACUAGGUUUGUAAGAUUUUGGAGGCCGGAAGGUUGUAGACAGCCUUAGCUUUUUCCAAUAAUCUUCAGAAGGAGUGCCGCAUAGCUUAAAAAUCCUAUGUAGCUGUUCAACCUCAG